CUCCGUGGUUGCCAGCCUAGGUCACGUGACGGCCAAGAUGGCGGCGCACAUGUGAACUGUGUUUCGACAAGACCUGGCAGUCGUCACUGCACUUUUUGUUGUCAAGCAGGGCCAGUAUAUGUGAAUGAUUGAAAAGUAUGCCAAUCACGAAGCACGAAGAGAAAAUGGUUGAUUUGCAGCAUCAACUACGAGAAAAUCAACAUGAUGUUGAGGAGUUUUUGUCAGAUAUGCAAAACUGGGAAACACGUAUGCGAAAGAAAGACACUAAUUUGAAGAUGGAGGGACCAGUCAUUGAAGCUCAACUUCCACCUGUCCGCAAUACAUUAGAUCAGAAAAAACUGAGGAAAAAGAAGAAAAGGACAACUGAAAGAGUACAAAACAAACCAAAACGAAUAAGCAGCUAUGACUAUCUUUCGUGGGACACAUUUGAUGUUAACAAGGCCAUAGAGGAGGUAGACAGACAGAAAGAUUCCUCCUCAGAAUAUGAGACAGAUGAGGAAUGGGAUACAGAAAGGAAAAAACACCUGGCAGAGGAAGAAAAGGAAAAGGGAAAUGCCUAUUUCCGGGGAGGAGAGUAUGACCAAGCCAUUGAACAUUAUUCACGUGGCCUCCAGCUUGAUCCUACCAACCAUCUACUUCCAGCAAACAGAGCAAUGGCCCUCAUCAAACAAAAAAAGUUUGCAGCAGCUGAAGUAGAUGCUACAACAGCUAUCUCCCUUGACCCCCUGUACGUUAAAGCUUACAUGCGUCGGGCAUCAGCCAUGGUGGGACUAACCAAGUUUGAAUUAGCAAGGGCUGACUAUGAGAGAAUUCUUAACCUUGAACCACAGAACAAACUUGCAAAAGCUGAACUGGAGAAAACUGAAAAGGAGUUAAUGCGAUCUGUGUCGAGGCAUCCAGAAGAAAAAUUGUUUACUCAAGAGCCUGGAAUCAUCAGUCCAUUGCACAAGUCAUCAGAAUGUAGAUCAAUGAAAUCUCUGAGAAGAAUUGCAAUUGAAGAAGUUGGGAUAGAAAGUCAAGGAGAUGAUGUUGUCACCACAACAUUUAAACAGAGUAAAUCGCUGCAAAGAAUAACUGAAAAAGAUAACAGGAUGUUUCAGAAAUUUGUGUCUAAAUCAGAUUCUCUAGCAAAAUCAGUUAAACCUAAAGCUGUUGAGAAACUUGGAGAUUCUGAAUCAAAACAGAGAAAUGCCCUCAGUGAUGCAGAAGAAGGACAUUCAUCAAGCAGUGUAAGCUUGGCAACUGAUGGAACAUUCUCAGAAUCAUCAGACGACAUGUCAGGAAAAAGUGUCCCGCAGACUUCAUAUCAUUUCCAGUCUGAUUACAAAGUGCUGAAGCACAACAAGGAAGCUUUCUUUCACUAUUUCAAGAGGAUUGCUCCAUCUACUUUUCCAACUCUAUUUGGGGAGAUGCUGGAUUCAGACAUACUUGUCAACAUUCUGGCAGUCUUUAAAGAAUUUUAUGUUCCGUGACAGCUUUGAAGAACAUCUUGUGAGUCUCACCAGAGUUAAGAGAUUUGAAAUGACAGCAUUGUUUUUGUCAGAGAGGGAGAAACAACUUGUAUCAAACCUGAUUGCU
RNAcentral lists this unclassified non-coding RNA (1578 nucleotides) under Haliotis rufescens (red abalone). RNAcentral's name for it is "rNA polymerase II-associated protein 3-like, transcript variant X1". The record is from RNAcentral. Lineage: Eukaryota; Metazoa; Mollusca; Gastropoda; Lepetellida; Haliotidae.